AUUGAACGCUAGCGGGAUGCUUAACACAUGCAAGUCGAACGAGUGGCGGACGGGUGAGUAAUAUAUGGGAACGUGCCCAGUAGCGGGGGAUAACUACUCGAAAGAGUGGCUAAUACCGCAUACAAUAGGAGGGGCCGAUAUCGGAUUAGGUAGUUGGUGGGGUAAAGGCUCACCAAGGCAACGAUCCGUAGCUGGUUUGAGAGGACGACCAGCCACACUGGGACUGAGACACGGCCCAGACUCCUACGGGAGGCAGCAGUGGGGAAUUUUGGACAAUGGGGGAAACCCUGAUCCAGCCAUCCCGCGUGUAUGAGAAGGCCUUCGGGUUGUAAAGUACUUUUGGCAGAGAAGCGGUAUCUGCAGAAUAAGCACCGGCUAACUACGUGCCAGCAGCCGCGGUAAUUC
This 405-nucleotide ribosomal RNA is filed under the name uncultured bacterium. RNAcentral describes it as "partial 16S ribosomal RNA". It matches the Rfam family "Bacterial small subunit ribosomal RNA", at positions 30 to 526 of the family's 1533-position model. The record is from RNAcentral.